RNAcentral lists this ribosomal RNA (406 nucleotides) under uncultured bacterium. RNAcentral's name for it is "partial 16S ribosomal RNA". It matches the Rfam family "Bacterial small subunit ribosomal RNA", at positions 30 to 526 of the family's 1533-position model. The record is from RNAcentral.
AUUGAACGCUGGCGGCAGGCCUAACACAUGCAAGUCGAACGAGUGGCGCACGGGUGAGUAAUGUCUGGGAAACUCCCAGAUGGAUGGGGAUAACUACUGGAACCGGUAGCUAAUACCGCAUACCAUCGGAUGUUCCCAGAUGGGAUUAGCUAGUAGCUGGGGUAAAGGCUAACCUAGGCCACGAUCCCUAGAUGGUCUGAGAGGAUGACCGGCCACACUGGAACUGAGACACGGUCCAGACUCCUACGGGAGGCAGCAGUGGGGAAUAUUGCACAAUGGGCGCAAGCCUGAUAGAGCCAUGCCGCGUGUAUGAAGAAGGCCUUCGGGUUGUAAAGUACUUUCAGUGGGGAGGCGUUACCCGCAGAAGAAGCACCGGCUAACUCCGUGCCAGCAGCCGCGGUAAUAC